RNAcentral lists this ribosomal RNA (499 nucleotides) under uncultured bacterium. Its description in RNAcentral is "partial 16S ribosomal RNA". It matches the Rfam family "Bacterial small subunit ribosomal RNA", at positions 28 to 507 of the family's 1533-position model. The record is from RNAcentral.
GACGAACGCUGGCGGCGUGCCUAAUACAUGCAAGUCGAGCGAAGUUUUUCUGGUGCUUGCACUAGAAAAACUUAGCGGCGAGCGGGUGAGUAACACGUAAAGAACCUGCCUCAUAGACUGGGACAACUAUUGGAAACGAUAGCUAAUACCGGAUAACAGUAUUUCUCGCAUGAGAGAUAUUUAAAAGUUGGUUAUGCUAACACUAUGAGAUGGCUUUGCGGUGCAUUAGCUAGUUGGUGGGGUAAAGGCCCACCAAGGCGACGAUGCAUAGCCGACCUGAGAGGGUGAUCGGCCACACCGGGACUGAGACACGGCCCAGACUCCUACGGGAGGCAGCAGUAGGGAAUCUUCCGCAAUGGGCGAAAGCCUGACGGAGCAACGCCGCGUGAGUGAAGAAGGAUUUCGGUUCGUAAGGCUCUGUUGUUAGGGAAGAAUGGAUAUGUAGUAACUAUACAUGUAAGAGACGGUACCUAACCAGAAAGCCACGGCUAACUACGUG